RNAcentral lists this ribosomal RNA (1695 nucleotides) under Escherichia coli MS 146-1. RNAcentral's name for it is "bacterial LSU rRNA". It matches the Rfam family "Bacterial large subunit ribosomal RNA", at positions 1252 to 2925 of the family's 2925-position model. Lineage: Bacteria; Pseudomonadati; Pseudomonadota; Gammaproteobacteria; Enterobacterales; Enterobacteriaceae. The record is from RNAcentral.
GAAGGUGUACUGUGAGGUAUGCUGGAGGUAUCAGAAGUGCGAAUGCUGACAUAAGUAACGAUAAAGCGGGUGAAAAGCCCGCUCGCCGGAAGACCAAGGGUUCCUGUCCAACGUUAAUCGGGGCAGGGUGAGUCGACCCCUAAGGCGAGGCCGAAAGGCGUAGGCGAUGGGAAACAGGUUAAUAUUCCUGUACUUGGUGUUACUGCGAAGGGGGGACGGAGAAGGCUAUGUUGGCCGGGCGACGGUUGUCCCGGUUUAAGCGUGUAGGCUGGUUUUCCAGGCAAAUCCGGAAAAUCAAGGCUGAGGCGUGAUGACGAGGCACUACGGUGCUGAAGCAACAAAUGCCCUGCUUCCAGGAAAAGCCUCUAAGCAUCAGGUAACAUCAAAUCGUACCCCAAACCGACACAGGUGGUCAGGUAGAGAAUACCAAGGCGCUUGAGAGAACUCGGGUGAAGGAACUAGGCAAAAUGGUGCCGUAACUUCGGGAGAAGGCACGCUGAUAUGUAGGUGAAGUCCCUCGCGGAUGGAGCUGAAAUCAGUCGAAGAUACCAGCUGGCUGCAACUGUUUAUUAAAAACACAGCACUGUGCAAACACGAAAGUGGACGUAUACGGUGUGACGCCUGCCCGGUGCCGGAAGGUUAAUUGAUGGGGUUAGCCGCAAGGCGAAGCUCUUGAUCGAAGCCCCGGUAAACGGCGGCCGUAACUAUAACGGUCCUAAGGUAGCGAAAUUCCUUGUCGGGUAAGUUCCGACCUGCACGAAUGGCGUAAUGAUGGCCAGGCUGUCUCCACCCGAGACUCAGUGAAAUUGAACUCGCUGUGAAGAUGCAGUGUACCCGCGGCAAGACGGAAAGACCCCGUGAACCUUUACUAUAGCUUGACACUGAACAUUGAGCCUUGAUGUGUAGGAUAGGUGGGAGGCUUUGAAGUGUGGACGCCAGUCUGCAUGGAGCCGACCUUGAAAUACCACCCUUUAAUGUUUGAUGUUCUAACGUUGACCCGUAAUCCGGGUUGCGGACAGUGUCUGGUGGGUAGUUUGACUGGGGCGGUCUCCUCCUAAAGAGUAACGGAGGAGCACGAAGGUUGGCUAAUCCUGGUCGGACAUCAGGAGGUUAGUGCAAUGGCAUAAGCCAGCUUGACUGCGAGCGUGACGGCGCGAGCAGGUGCGAAAGCAGGUCAUAGUGAUCCGGUGGUUCUGAAUGGAAGGGCCAUCGCUCAACGGAUAAAAGGUACUCCGGGGAUAACAGGCUGAUACCGCCCAAGAGUUCAUAUCGACGGCGGUGUUUGGCACCUCGAUGUCGGCUCAUCACAUCCUGGGGCUGAAGUAGGUCCCAAGGGUAUGGCUGUUCGCCAUUUAAAGUGGUACGCGAGCUGGGUUUAGAACGUCGUGAGACAGUUCGGUCCCUAUCUGCCGUGGGCGCUGGAGAACUGAGGGGGGCUGCUCCUAGUACGAGAGGACCGGAGUGGACGCAUCACUGGUGUUCGGGUUGUCAUGCCAAUGGCACUGCCCGGUAGCUAAAUGCGGAAGAGAUAAGUGCUGAAAGCAUCUAAGCACGAAACUUGCCCCGAGAUGAGUUCUCCCUGACUCCUUGAGAGUCCUGAAGGAACGUUGAAGACGACGACGUUGAUAGGCCGGGUGUGUAAGCGCAGCGAUGCGUUGAGCUAACCGGUACUAAUGAACCGUGAGGCUUAACCUU